AUCCAAUUCAAUUGGACUUGAUCCAAAAAUAAUUACUCAAUCAAAUUGAGUUAAUUAGUGAUCAAAUCACUAAUUAAAUCUCUCAUAAAUAUUGAGUCUAAAUUCGAUGGGUAAUCGGGCAUCAGAAUUCAUCGAUAUGUAAGCCUGAUCGAAGAGUCCCAGACCAGUGGGACUCUUGACCCCGGUAUCCAAAAUGUGUGGGACUCAUGAUCAGAGAAUCCUGAUUCUCGAUCACAGAGUUCCAGACACGUAGGACUCAUAGUCCAUGAGCAUUAGGACUCUUCAUCAGCCAUCAGAUCAGAUAGGAACCUCUAAUGUGUGUGACCCCGCAGGUUCGAACCUAAGUCGGUAGCACAGGAACCAAUUCCUGUACUAAUCGAAGUGACCAUCUAGCAAUGGUACCCGAUGAUCGGAUAGGUAGAAUA
RNAcentral lists this long non-coding RNA (425 nucleotides) under Elaeis guineensis (African oil palm). RNAcentral's name for it is "long non-coding RNA (EGUI_LNC038178)". The record is from RNAcentral. Lineage: Eukaryota; Viridiplantae; Streptophyta; Magnoliopsida; Arecales; Arecaceae.